This 487-nucleotide ribosomal RNA is filed under the name uncultured bacterium. Its description in RNAcentral is "bacterial SSU rRNA". It matches the Rfam family "Bacterial small subunit ribosomal RNA", at positions 8 to 518 of the family's 1533-position model. The record is from RNAcentral.
AGAGUUUGAUCCUGGCUUAGGAUGAACGCUGACAGAAUGCUUAACACAUGCAAGUCUACUUGAUCCUCGGGUGAAGGUGGCGGACGGGUGAGUAACGCGUAAAGAACUUGCCUUACAGACUGGACAACAUUUGGAAACGAAUGCUAAUACCGGAUAUUAUGAUUGGGUCGCAUGAUCUGGUUAUGAAAGCUAUAUGCGCUGUGAGAGAGCUUUGCGUCCCAUUAGUUAGUUGGUGAGGUAACGGCUCACCAAGACGAUGAUGGGUAGCCGGCCUGAGAGGGUGAACGGCCACAAGGGGACUGAGACACGGCCCUUACUCCUACGGGAGGCAGCAGUGGGGAAUAUUGGACAAUGGACCAAAAGUCUGAUCCAGCUAAAUUCUGUGUGCACGAUGAAGUUUUUCGGAAUGUAAAGUGCUUUCAGUUGGGAAGAAGUCAGUGACGGUACCAACAGAAGAAGCGACGGCUAAAUACGUGCCAGCCGCAGC